Long non-coding RNA from Tupaia belangeri chinensis (Chinese tree shrew), 445 nucleotides. RefSeq lists it as uncharacterized. The transcript is spliced from 3 exons. NCBI's taxonomy places the organism in Eukaryota, Metazoa, Chordata, Mammalia, Scandentia, Tupaiidae. The record is from RefSeq and is a predicted model, not a curated record.
UGAGGCUAUAAAAGCCUCGCCACCUGCUGCUGCGAGCCAAGCAGUGCGUCCAGUUGCCUCGAGAAACCAAUUCGCCGCCUCCAGUGGCCGCUCGCCGCGACAUGGACCCUGAGACCUGCCCCUGCCCUUCUGGUGGUUCUUGCACCUGCACGGACUCCUGCAAGUGCGAGGGAUGCAAAUGCACCUCCUGCAAGAAGAGCUGCUGCUCCUGCUGCCCCGCAGAGUGCGAGAAGUGCGCCAAGGACUGCGUGUGCAAAGGUGGAGAGGGGACGGAGGCUGAGGCUGAGAAGUGCAGCUGCUCCCAAUGAGGACGUGCCCCUCUGCGUGGAGUGAGUGUAAAUAGUGCGGCAUGGCCCCGUGCCACCUCUGGCCACAGUGGGGCACCGCUGGGCAUCUCCUAACCCUGCUGGUGGCGGGCAAGUGACAAUAAAUGCCAUGAACAGCA